Molecule: ribosomal RNA, 253 nt
Filed under: uncultured bacterium
Lineage: Bacteria
Description: partial 16S ribosomal RNA
Rfam family: Bacterial small subunit ribosomal RNA
Source: RNAcentral
CACGUAGGGUGCGAGCGUUGUCCGGAAUUAUUGGGCGUAAAGCGUGCGCAGGCGGCUUUGCAAGACAGAUGUGAAAUCCCCGGGCUUAACCUGGGAACUGCAUUUGUGACUGCAUGGCUGGAGUGCGGCAGAGGGGGAUGGAAUUCCGCGUGUAGCAGUGAAAUGCGUAGAUAUGCGGAGGAACACCGAUGGCGAAGGCAAUCCCCUGGGCCUGCACUGACGCUCAUGCACGAAAGCGUGGGGAGCAAACAGG